AGUGAACGCUGGCGGUAGGCCUAACACAUGCAAGUCGAACGGCAGCACAGUAAGAGCUUGCUCUUACGGGUGGCGAGUGGCGGACGGGUGAGGAAUACAUCGGAAUCUACUUUUUCGUGGGGGAUAACGUAGGGAAACUUACGCUAAUACCGCAUACGACCUACGGGUGAAUGCAGGGGAUCUUCGGACCUUGCGCGAUUGAAUGAGCCGAUGUCGGAUUAGCUAGUUGGCGGGGUAAAGGCCCACCAAGGCGACGAUCCGUAGCUGGUCUGAGAGGCUGAUCAGCCACACUGGAACUGAGACACGGUCCAGACUCCUACGGGAGGCAGCAGUGGGGAAUAUUGGUCAAUGGGCGCAAGCCUGAUCCAGCCAUACCGCGUGAGUGAAGAAGGCCUUCGGGUUGUAAAACCCUUUUGUUGGGAAAGAAAAGCAGCAGGUUAAUACCCCGCUGUUCUGACGUUACCCAAAGAGUAAGCACCGGCUAACUUCGUG
RNAcentral lists this ribosomal RNA (492 nucleotides) under uncultured bacterium. RNAcentral's name for it is "partial 16S ribosomal RNA". It matches the Rfam family "Bacterial small subunit ribosomal RNA", at positions 29 to 507 of the family's 1533-position model. The record is from RNAcentral.